GCCUUCGUAGUGUAGUGGUCAGCACGCUCGACGCGAAACCGAGAGGUCCGUCGUUCGAUUCCAAGCGAAAGCG
RNAcentral lists this transfer RNA (73 nucleotides) under Stegodyphus mimosarum. It matches the Rfam family "tRNA". Rfam says of the family: Transfer RNA (tRNA) molecules are approximately 80 nucleotides in length. Their secondary structure includes four short double-helical elements and three loops (D, anti-codon, and T loops). Further hydrogen bonds mediate the characteristic L-shaped molecular structure. tRNAs have two regions of fundamental functional importance: the anti-codon, which is responsible for specific mRNA codon recognition, and the 3' end, to which the tRNAs corresponding amino acid is attached (by aminoacyl-tRNA synthetases). tRNAs cope with the degeneracy of the genetic code in two manners: having more than one tRNA (with a specific anti-codon) for a particular amino acid; and 'wobble' base-pairing, i.e. permitting non-standard base-pairing at the 3rd anti-codon position. Lineage: Eukaryota; Metazoa; Arthropoda; Arachnida; Araneae; Eresidae. The record is from Rfam by way of RNAcentral.